This 754-nucleotide ribosomal RNA is filed under the name Acaulospora foveata. RNAcentral's name for it is "SSU rRNA". It matches the Rfam family "Eukaryotic small subunit ribosomal RNA", at positions 332 to 1085 of the family's 1831-position model. Lineage: Eukaryota; Fungi; Glomeromycota; Glomeromycetes; Diversisporales; Acaulosporaceae. The record is from RNAcentral.
GAUAGAGGCCUACCAUGGUUUUAACGGGUAACGGGGAAUUAGGGUUCGAUUCCGGAGAGGGAGCCUGAGAAACGGCUACCACAUCCAAGGAAGGCAGCAGGCGCGCAAAUUACCCAAUCCCAAUACGGGGAGGUAGUGACAAUAAAUAACAAUAUGGGGCCCUUACGGGUUUCGUAAUUGGAAUGAGUACAAUUUAAAUCUCUUAACGAGGAACAAUUGGAGGGCAAGUCUGGUGCCAGCAGCCGCGGUAAUUCCAGCUCCAAUAGCGUAUAUUAAAGUUGUUGCAGUUAAAAAGCUCGUAGUUGAAUUUCGGAAUCUGUCCGUUGGUCGGGCUUCAUUGUCCGUACUGGUGUGAUGGGUUCUUACCUUCUGAAUAACCAGCAUGCCAUUCAUUUGGUGCGCUGGGGAAGCAGGACUAUUACCUUGAAAAAAUUAGAGUGCUCAAAGCAGGCUAGUGCCUGAAUACAUUAGCAUGGAAUAAUAAAAUAGGACGGCAUGGUUCUAUUUUGUUGGUUUCUAGGAUCACCGUAAUGAUUAAUAGGGAUAGUUGGGGGCAUUAGUAUUCAAUUGUCAGAGGUGAAAUUCUUGGAUUUAUUGAAGACUAACUUCUGCGAAAGCAUUUGCCAAGGAUGUUUUCAUUAAUCAAGAACGAAAGUUAGGGGAUCGAAGACGAUCAGAUACCGUCGUAGUCUUAACCAUAAACUAUGCCGACUAGGGAUCGGACGAUGUUAAUUUUUUAAUGACUCGUUCGGCG